CGUCCAGACUCCUACGGGAGGCAGCAGUGGGGAAUAUUGCACAAUGGGGGGAACCCUGAUGCAGCGACGCCGCGUGGGUGAAGGAGCACCUCGGUGCGUAAAGCCCUAUCGGCAGGGAAGAAACAGACGGUACCUGACUAAGAAGCCCCGGCUAACUACGUGCCAGCAGCCGCGGUAAUACGUAGGGGGCAAGCGUUAUCCGGAUUCACUGGGUGUAAAGGGAGCGUAGACGGCGACGCAAGUCUGGAGUGAAAGCCCGGGGCCCAACCCCGGGACUGCUCUGGAAACUGCGGCGCUGGAGUACGGGAGGGGCAGGCGGAAUUCCUGGUGUAGCGGUGAAAUGCGUAGAUAUUAGGAGGAACACCAGUGGCGAAGGCGGCCUGCUGGACGACAACUGACGGUGAGGCGCGAAAGCGUGGGGAGCAAACAGGAUUGGAUACCCCCGUAGCA
Molecule: ribosomal RNA, 450 nt
Filed under: uncultured bacterium
Lineage: Bacteria
Description: bacterial SSU rRNA
Rfam family: Bacterial small subunit ribosomal RNA
Source: RNAcentral